UGAUCUCCCGCAUUGCGGGAGUGAUUAGUGGCGAACGGGUGAGUAAUACGUGAGUAACCUGCCCUUGACUCUGGGAUAAGCCUGGGAAACCGGGUCUAAUACUGGAUACGACUCCUCAUCGCAUGGUGGGGGGUGGAAAGGGUUUGACUGGUUUUGGAUGGGCUCACGGCCUAUCAGCUUGUUGGUGGGGUAAUGGCUCACCAAGGCGACGACGGGUAGCCGGCCUGAGAGGGUGACCGGCCACACUGGGACUGAGACACGGCCCAGACUCCUACGGGAGGCAGCAGUGGGGAAUAUUGCACAAUGGGCGCAAGCCUGAUGCAGCGACGCCGCGUGAGGGAUGACGGCCUUCGGGUUGUAAACCUCUUUCAGCAGGGAAGAAGCCACAAGUGACGGUACCUGCAGAAGAAGCGCCGGCUAACUACGUGCCAGCAGCCGCGGUAAUACGUAGGGCGCAAGCGUUGUCCGGAAUUAUUGGGCGUAAAGAGCUCGUAGGCGGUUUGUCGCGUCUGCUGUGAAAGCCCGGGGCUCAACCCCGGGUCUGCAGUGGGUACGGGCAGACUAGAGUGCAGUAGGGGAGACUGGAAUUCCUGGUGUAGCGGUGAAAUGCGCAGAUAUCAGGAGGAACACCGAUGGCGAAGGCAGGUCUCUGGGCUGUUACUGACGCUGAGGAGCGAAAGCAUGGGGAGCGAACAGGAUUAGAUACCCUGGUAGUCCAUGCCGUAAACGUUGGGCACUAGGUGUGGGGGACAUUCCACGUUCUCCGCGCCGUAGCUAACGCAUUAAGUGCCCCGCCUGGGGAGUACGGCCGCAAGGCUAAAACUCAAAGGAAUUGACGGGGGCCCGCACAAGCGGCGGAGCAUGCGGAUUAAUUCGAUGCAACGCGAAGAACCUUACCAAGGCUUGACAUUCACCGGACCGCCUCAAAGAUGGGGUUUCCCUUCGG
Molecule: ribosomal RNA, 946 nt
Filed under: Kocuria turfanensis
Lineage: Bacteria; Bacillati; Actinomycetota; Actinomycetes; Micrococcales; Micrococcaceae
Description: bacterial SSU rRNA
Rfam family: Bacterial small subunit ribosomal RNA
Source: RNAcentral